AAACGUCCCGCCCCUCAGCUCAGUGGCAUGUGCUCCUGUUGUAUUGUAAACAUCGUCAAUAUGGCUUAUCAAUUUGAGCCCGAUUGAGACCCAGAGAAUAUUAGUGAUGAGGAUUGUGCAGAACCUGUGCAAGCAUGGCUUUUAAUGGGUACAAUGUGACUUGGAAAUGUUUAAGGAGAUGCACGCUGUCUGUUAUAAUAAUAUGAUGAUGACGAUAAUCAGGUGACCCAAAGGACAUUUUACCCAGCAGCAUCCUGUCUGUUAAAGUAUUCAGAUGACAAACGCUCCAAACAAAAGUGUGUCUGACUGGGACAAAAGGAAGACACUGAUAUCACAAAGGAUGCUAUUGAAAUUAAGGACAAAAGAUGUUGUGUCCAUUACACAUUCAGUUUCAGCUUCUGGUUCCCACUCAGAGAUUUAUGUAAAGUUUUACAUUUUGAAGUAUUAAGAAUAUUGAUGUGGUAAGUAAAAUGUUUGCAUUGUGAUGUUAAAUUGAUGCCAAAUA
Molecule: long non-coding RNA, 505 nt
Organism: Cyprinus carpio (common carp)
Lineage: Eukaryota; Metazoa; Chordata; Actinopteri; Cypriniformes; Cyprinidae
Exons: 3
Source: RefSeq, a predicted model, not a curated record